CGCUCGUCGCUCCGGCCAGACUCCAGUUGGCCUUUGCUGUGCGUAGAAAAAAUAGUCACGUGUAUACAGUGAUUGCCACAUCUUAGUACUUUAACACAAUGGGAAGUAAAGCUAUUUCUAGGCAAGAAAAGGAAACGCAACAACGCUGAAACUUCGGCUAAAGCAAAAGCUAAAAGAUUGAUGUACUAAUGUUAUAACAUGCGUCUGUAGUUAUGGUUGUUGUUUUUUUUACUCAUUAAACGCUUGAGCAACAGUUACUUAAAGGAA
This is a long non-coding RNA of Manduca sexta (tobacco hornworm), 267 nucleotides long. RefSeq lists it as uncharacterized. NCBI's taxonomy places the organism in Eukaryota, Metazoa, Arthropoda, Insecta, Lepidoptera, Sphingidae. The transcript is spliced from 2 exons. The record is from RefSeq and is a predicted model, not a curated record.